This 406-nucleotide ribosomal RNA is filed under the name uncultured bacterium. Its description in RNAcentral is "partial 16S ribosomal RNA". It matches the Rfam family "Bacterial small subunit ribosomal RNA", at positions 29 to 526 of the family's 1533-position model. The record is from RNAcentral.
AUUGAACGCUGGCGGCAGGCCUAACACAUGCAAGUCGAACGAGUGGCGGACGGGUGAGUAAUGUCUGGGAAACUGCCUGAUGGAGGGGGAUAACUACUGGAAACGGUAGCUAAUACCGCAUACCAUCGGAUGUGCCCAGAUGGGAUUGGCUUGUUGGUGGGGUAACGGCUCACCAAGGCGACGAUCCCUAGCUGGUCUGAGAGGAUGACCAGACACACUGGAACGGAGACACGGUCCAGACUCCUACGGGAGGCAGCAGUGGGGAAGAUUGCACAAUGGGAGAAAGCAUGAUGCAGCCAGGACGCGUGUAUGAAGAAGGCCUUAGGGUUGUAAAGUACGUUCAGCGGGGAGGCGUUAACCGCAGAAGAAGCACCGGCUAACUCCGUGCCAGCAGCCGCGGUAAUAC